UCCCUGGCGGUCCAAUGGUUAAGACUCAGCGCUUUCACUGCUGUGACCCAGGUUUAGUCCCUGGUUGGGGAG
RNAcentral lists this transfer RNA (72 nucleotides) under Bos taurus (domestic cattle). It matches the Rfam family "tRNA". From Rfam's summary of the family: Transfer RNA (tRNA) molecules are approximately 80 nucleotides in length. RNAcentral also lists the same sequence under 3 other names. The record is from Rfam by way of RNAcentral. Lineage: Eukaryota; Metazoa; Chordata; Mammalia; Artiodactyla; Bovidae.